This is a long non-coding RNA of Mesocricetus auratus (golden hamster), 11051 nucleotides long. RefSeq lists it as uncharacterized. The record is from RefSeq and is a predicted model, not a curated record. Lineage: Eukaryota; Metazoa; Chordata; Mammalia; Rodentia; Cricetidae. The transcript has 2 exons.
ACGCUGCGACCGGGCUCCUGGCAGGGGGGCGGCGGGAGCAGUGCGCCGAGCCCGGAGGGGACCGGGUGCCCCGGGGGAGCGCGCGCUCGGGGGAGCAGGCGAGACGCGGGGUCCCUGGGACCGUUGCGCGCGCGCGCGAGCCUGUCGAGGUGCCCUGAGCGGCCGGCACCCCCGCCCCUCCCCCCGCGGCCCCCCACAAAUGUUGCAAACUUUUGCAAGCCAGUGCUGGGCUUGCAGAAGAGGGCGAGGGGGGACGGGGACGGACCAGAGCGUUGACAGUCAGGCGACUCCAACACCAUGUCCCCCUUGAUUGCAUGUUUUAUUUUCUGCAAAGACGAGCUGUCCAAAUUAAAUACAAUCUCCCCCCCACCACAAAGAAACCAAGACGGGGGAAUGGGGGAAAGAAACUUUUAAAGCGGUAGUGUCCUUUUAAGAAGGGGGAUGGGGUCUGUUUGUGGCUACUAGCUUCCACAGUUACCUUUUCUGAUCUUGACAGUUUCUCACAUACGCUCCCCCAACCCCCCGUAGCCGGAGUCGCGGCGGGUGUUCGAGUCCUUCCUCUCCCGUGAAAGGUUAGGGGCUCAAGAGGAGCAAGAGACCUAGAAGUCUCUAGGGACGGAAAGGGGGCGCUCCCGGGGCUAAGAGGGGGCGACGCGGGCAGCUUCUUCUCUGGAGCUCUGGAGGUGGGUUUGGAGGAGUCAGGGUCCCGGUGCGCGGGAUGCCAUGGAGUUGCCCCUCCAGCGUGGCAAGGGGAAGAAGCGCAACUUUGUAGCCGGGGGUUCGGAGACCAGAGCCCUGGAAGAGGCUGGCAGGGGGCGUGUGCAGCGCGCGGAGGGAGGGCGGCAGUGGAGUGGGGGCGCUUCACGCGGGAUCGGAGGGAGAGGCUGUGACAGCAAACAAACGCAGAGACAACGCUGAGAAAAGCACCCAAACUUAUUUCUGCUCUGGGAAUUCUCCCCUCGCCGCGAUGCCCAGCGUUUCUGCGGGAACCUGGGGAUGAUCAGAGUUGAGUGCUCGUGGGCCUGGGCUAAGGAGUCUGCCCUCGCUGGGUCAUUGGUUCAUUUCGUGUUGGUGUCUGGAGUGUGUGAAGGAGGGGACCGGGGAGACGAGGGUGCUUGUUCCCCUCUUGCCCUUUUCUUAAAGUGGCCUGAUCUGGAAAGCGGACUCCUUUCUUAAAGGUGUCAGAACCUGCUGUGGGAUUUCCCCACCUCCUCCUUCGGGGGUGGGGGAUUAUUUAUUUGAUGCUCCGGGAGUUUGCAAAGAGCAGAAGGAAGCUGCAGCUUUAAUUACUGUUGUAAAUAAUGUAUAAAUCACGCCUGUCACUCCGGAGGAAGUGGGCUCCUGCGAGCCACCGCGGGGCUUGGGACCUAGAGGUUCUCUCCAGCCAGGAUCUGGUGCCUAGGGGGAUUGGGGGAAGGCAAAGGAGGGAUUCAGAGCCGCUCCCUUGCUCUCCGAUGUGCUUGCUAGCUAGCUGGAGGUAGGAACAUGGCUGAUCAUGUGCUGGCUGUUUUACAGUAUUCCCCCCUCCCGCCCCACCUUAGCCACACCCCCUGUCCGGGCGCUUUCCCAUUCACGGAAUUCGAGUACAGUAAAAGCCAUCAGGAUGACAUAUGCUGGGGGGGGGGGGCAUUUAAUUAAAGCGAUUUCCGAAGAGUGACUGCGCUGAGGCUUGGUUUGAACCGGAGGAACGGGGCCGGCAAGGAACGGGAUGAAUAGAAAAGGGUUGAAGACUUGAGGUGGGGGGCGGCCGCGACCGGCCACCAGCUCCGAGAGUUUGUGUGCAGAGCUUUUGGCUGCAAAGAGUCUAUUUAGAGCCGGAGAUUUGGAAUGCAAGCGGGUUAUGUAACAGGGUUAAUCAGAAACGCUGGAGAAAAUCCCCUUCAUGUGUUUGGAGGCUUUUUUUUUCUAGAAGGGGUGCAGGGUGUCUAGGAAGCAGCUCUAAUUUCUGGCUUGCACCUUUCCUCUUCCUUUAGCCCCUCCCCAUCUCCCCUGCUUUAUUAACAUCUUCAGGUGUCAUUCCUGCCAGAAGGUGUGUUCUUACAAUAGAUGGGGUGGCAGGCUGCAGAACCGACUACAAAUCUGUAACUUGCUGUUACUGCAAAUUAUAGAAAGCCGGGGAAUUUGGUACCCCCCGCCCCAAAAAGCUCCAAGGAACCAAAAUAGGAGCAGUGUGCCUCUACCAGGAUGACCUGCUGACCCAUAUCCCUUUACCCCCCAAGAGCCCCAACCGUGUUCUUUGAAGAAAAAAAAAAAACCUAAAAAUCCCUGUCUGUUUCUCCAAGGAGAUUUAUUGGGAAGAGGGAAGUAAGGCCCAGACACUCCACUCACAUCCUGCACGCAGGCACUAGGUUACAUAACAGUCUGAAUGGAAAAAAGGAAGGUCAGACAUGGAGGCAUCCUUUAGCCAACACGGCAGUAGUAAUAUCUUCCAGGAAUUACUUGCAGUUGCAGACCUUGACCUCAGAUGUAUCGUCUACUUCUCAGAGGUGCCAACCUUGGUGUGUGUGUGUGUGUGUGAGAGAGAGAGAGAGAGAGAGAGAGAGAGAGAGAGAGAGAGAGAGAGAGAGAGAGAGAGAGAGAGAGAGAGAAAGCGAGCACCCGGGAGAAAAGGAGAGACUACUGUGUAAGUAUGCUGGGUAGUUGAGAGUGAUGUGCAAAUGGGAAAUGUUUGGGUUUUUAGAUGAUGUAAUGGACUUGGCAGAAUAUGCAACUCGGCUCCCGGAGUGUAAGCAUAAGAAAAUUGGAGCUGGCAUCCCAUAUUAAUGUUGCAUAAAUUACAAUAUCAGAAAGAAAUUAACCUACACACUAGGUGAUUAUGCCUCUUAAAUACUUAAAACAUAAAGGCACGGGCUUAAAAGGCAAAGCAAACAUCACCACCCCGCAAUUAGCCCCUUCUACCUCAGAAGGGUUAGUGAAGUUCCCCAUGGAAGGGAAGCUUUCUGACUUGAGAGGUGUUUUCCUCUGGGUCUUGGGUGCUUGUUCUCAGCCAGCCAGCAGAUGCUUGGAGCCUAUAGAAAUUGCGGGUAUAUUCCCAUGACAUUGAUGUGACCUCACGGGAUAUUGCCUAGGUAGAUUUGAAGCUGUUGUUAAAUUCCUAUGUCCUGGGAAUCUAAGUAUGAACGGAUUAGAGGCCUUCAGUGCCUGGGCUUUCAAAAUCAGAUAUGUGGUUUUAUAAUCUGGAAGUUGAUCUCCCUGUGUUCCUUCUAACUCCAAGGGAAUGGUAGUGGUCUUAAUGAAACCCUUGCAUUUUUAGGAAGUAUUAAUGAUGGCUGGUGCCAUUCAGCUCCAUCUUUCCUGGGAAAGUGGUGGAAGAGAAUAAAAAACAGGCAAGAAGCAACAUGGCAAGUUAAAAAAAAACAUACUGUGAAUCUUUAAUUUAACAAGGCUUUUGGGGACUUUUAGGGAACUGUGAGCAUUGUGGCAUAACUGGUUUUAGAAACUCUUUCCCAGAAUCUCCAAAUUAUAUGCAUGCCAGAAGCUUACAUACUGUACUACACUAAAAGCUACCCUCUCAGGACUGUGUACCAUGGCCUGGGCUCGCAAUGCUGGUGCGCAAAGCUUUUAGGGCAGGCCAACCUAAGAGAAAAAUGGAAACCAAAGGAUGGGGUGAAUCCUGCGAAGCUGGGUGGGAGUGAGGAACAACCCCCUGGAAGGUCCGCUGAAUAUGACUUAAAUCAAGUAACAGGGCCUCAUGGCUCUGCAACCUAGAGGAAUGCUGGAACUGUGUAACCUUCCACGUUGGAAGUGUACCUGCUCCCUUCUCACCAGUCCCUGCUGAUUCACUUUCUAGAAGGUUCUCUUACCUGGCAGUGUGGCAUCUUUUCUAGAGGUGAAUUUUCAGGUUACCUUUGCUGGCAUGGUCCCUGCCCUCUAUAGGGAAUAAAUGAUAGUUUCCCUGGCUGGGAGGAAAAUCCUUUCCCAGAGGAAUGGGAUGAUUUCGUUUUAACUAAGGGACUGUAAUUUUCUGGUAAAUUGCUCAUAAAAACAUUUAUAAUUAUACCUUUAAAAUGCAAUGGGAUAAUUUUAGAAAAUACAUUUUAUGAUAGUUAGGAUAACCUUUCUGUUGCUUCAUCCUAAUUUCUUAUAAAGAAUUGAAUUAUUAAUCUAGAAUUUAAGUCCUAAGUGGCUAAAACACUUACAGCACACCCUUGCUCUGUUUGCCAAAAUCCAUUGGCAUUGCACUGAGCUCUGGGCUUUAGAAAACGUCUCUUUUUUUUCUGACUCUGAAGUGUGGCUCAUGCCUGUCCAGGAGCUGGGCUCUGACAACACUUCUGUGACUGUUCAGGGCACAUGGCCCCCGGGGGUGGUGGGUGGGUGAGUGGGGCCUACACAGCUCCUUGAUGUCAGACAGACUCUGAACAUGGGAUGGAGAGGUGGAGACAGCUUAAUCACUUUUGGAAACAAAGUAACCUAUGUCUAAAUUUAACCCUUAGAAUGCAAGUCAGCAAGGGUCAUCUUCAGGUCAAUGUCAGACAGAGGGGCGCACAUUUUCUUCUUCUCUGAUGUCCCCAUUUUGCAUUUAGGAAUUUGUGAUGUGACAUUGGGAAGACUCAUUGAGUAUAGUCACAUAACAUGAACCCACUUUUAAAAAUAUUACUGUGUGUGUGCAUGAAUGUGUGUGCAUGUGGGUCACGGGUCAAUCAGCGUCAGGUGUCUUCUUAAAUUGCCCUCUACUUUAGUUUUUGAGAUAGGGUCUUUCACUGGACUUAAAGUUCAAUGAUUCAGCCUCCCCAGUGAUGGGAUUACAGGUCUGUGCUUCCACACCUGCAUUUUGUAUGUGGGUUCUGGACACUUUACCAACUGAGCUGGCUCCCCAGCCCCCAUGUCCUGAGGAUUUUUACAGUAUAUGUUACUUUUUUAGAGUUCUCCUUUUCCUAUGCAUCUCCCCACUCUGAUCUCCAUUUUCCUUCUUAGCUUCAGUGGGAACUCCUGAGUGUCGGGAGGCAAAAUACAAAACUUCAUCUUAGAGGUGCUUGUGUGUGUGUGUGUGUGUGUGUGUGUGUGUGUGUAUGCAAGUGCAGAACUGUGAGUGUACAUGUGUAUGUGUGUUUAUUAUGUUCUAAUAUGACAUUCGCUGCCCCUCAAUCUCUGUGUCACCAUUGAGAUAAUGAGCAGGUCUCUGAAAUAGGUGUCUUCCACUCCCUAAUGGAGAUCCCUGACCCAACCUUCAGGAUGAGUUAUAACUUCUCCUAGAGCAAGGAGUCAUUUGAAAGGGCUUCGGCUACCAGGGCUUACACUAACCUAGAAUAUAGAAUAUAUUUCACAGUUCCAAAAAUCUCCCUCGCUCUGGAUUUGGGCUGGUGGCCCCCUUCCACUUCCCUCCCUCUGUCUCUCCCUCAUUCUCUCUCUCUCUCAUAUUUAUUUUAUGCCUAAUUCAUCAUGGGAAAUAUUGGUUAGAAUUAAGCUGUUAAAACUUUUCAACUAUGUUUUAGACUAUGUAUUAAUAUAAUUGUGUAAUUUUUGGUUUAAUGCUUAAACGUAACCCAGAUGAUCAGUGUCCAAGUCUUGGCUGUUGUAUAAUCAAUCAUGGUUUUUCUCAUGGUGUUGAUAAUGAAUUUUUUUGUUUUGUUUUGUUUUUGUCUGACACUAGAUUAAUCCCAUGUGGAUUUUUUGUUUUUGUUUUUUGUCUUUUCUUUUUUGAGUAAGUUGUUUAGCUGUAUGGUUCCCUCUCCUGGCCUAGAGAGCACAUCAGACAGGAAAUUGAAUCUCUUUUUGGAGUUUCAGAGCCUCGAGGUGCUGUGGGGUCAUGGUUCUGAGCAUGAAUUCUUAUUGUACAUUGCAGAACUGAAAAUGAGGAGACUGUCCAACAUCUGUCGUGAGUCUUGAUCCCACCUGGAAAGUGUUUUUAUUUGUUUGUUUUUGUUUUCCUGUGAAAUCCUCAGCAGGACUGUUUGCUUUCUUGUUACCUGUGUUGCAAGCAGCAAGUCAGAAAUUCAAUUAUUUGUUCCGAGUUAGUGGAGGUCUUUAUUUUAUAGGAAAUUGUCAGGCAGAAUCUAAAAUCUGUUUGUUUGUUUGUUUGUUUGUUUGUUUGCUUAUUAUUUGUUUGCUUAUUUGGGACAGGGUCUCAGGGUGAUCCUCCUGUCUCAGCUUCCUGAGUGGUUGGAUUACGGUUGUCCGCUAAAGUCUUAUCUCUUCCCAUGGAAUAGUGGUUCUCACCCUUCCUAAUAGUGCUAAACUUUAAUACAGUUCCUCAUGUUGUGGUGAUCCCAACCAUAAAGUUCUUUUCUGGUAUGAACAUUAAUGUAAAUAUCUGAUAUGAAGGAGAUCUGACAUGCAGGACAAAGGGGCCCAGACCCAUAGACUGAGAACCACUGCUCUAGAAUUAUAGAAGAUGCAAAACCCUGAAAUAUCCAGGGAGGCAAUCCUGUUCGCAAGUCCUGUAAUGUGGCUUCCUCUCAUGUAAUAGGGAUGGAUAUCCACUAACUUCCUUUGGAGACAUUGGGAGCAUCUCUUUGGUAGGGGUCUCAUGCACUUGGAAAGUUAGGAAGCUUCAGGGUUCAGGCUUGUAGGAAAGAACAUUUAGAGGCCCCAAGAGAAAGUCCUUUCCAAACUGUAGCUUUUGGGAGGCAUUUUUAAACCACAGAGAUGGCUUCCUCAGCACCAUCACACUUGACUUAAUGUUAGUCAUUGAUAAUUUUCUGCUGCCUCUGUUGUAUCUGUUUGAAUUCUUGGUGCUAUGAUAGCCUAUCAUCAUCAUCAUCAAUGGACUAUUUUUUGUAAAGGCAUCAAGGGGAUUGUUUAAGGAAGUUAUUGUGAUAGAAGCAGUGGGAAUAAUGAAGAAUGAAGGCCCCACAGCUUACUGUAGGAAGACUGGCUUUCGGCUCCAGCUCUUCCAUGCUAAUGCUGAAAUGAAUUACAGGGAACAAUCCCCUGUUGAGGGAGGAACAGUUCCUCCUCCCAAAAUAUUUUUAUGGCUUUCAUGACAUGACAUUAUUAUAAAUUGUGUCGCCAUGUCAUAUGAGAUGAUGCAUUAAUGAUAGCAGAGGCAUUUUGAUUUCCUAGGGUUUAUCUACAAAACCUGGUUCCUGGUGGCUGGCUGGGGAGCCCUGUACUCUUGGAACUCAGAGUUUCCCACACCUUCAAAGAUGGAGAAGGACCCUGAGCUAUCUCAGGGUAAAUUUCUAUCCAUUUUAUCCUGAAUCUUCCACUGGAGGCUGGGAGUGAGACAGAAGCUUCGUGAUACAGAGGCUGUGUUUCUUCUCUGGUGGAUUCAUCUUAGCUAUGUCAUUAGGCGUUGGCACUUGUGACACAAAUUGCCUUAAACUGUUCUGAAGUAAGAAAGACGUUUCUACAUGUGGGCAUUGGUCACAGUAGAUGAAGUCUUCUGAGAUACAAGGAAAGGGCACCACUUAGUGUUAGAUCCUUAAGCCUGUAAAAGAGGUAUGCACUGUUAAAAAUACCUAGCUUACUUCGGGGGAGGAUUUGACUGAAUACUGAUGGAGUUUAUGAAAUAUGAAUAUAGUGAGUCGCUGUACGUAAGUGGUAGGCGUGUGUGAAAGAAGAAGAAAUAAAAUUGUGUAUAAAUGACACUCUGAAACUUGAUGGAAUUGCACACGUGACAGGAAUGGUGACGUGUGGGUCUGUGCUUUACAGAGGGAAAGAGAAACAGGCUGAAAAAUCCAUCUGUCAAACUUGAUAUGGGACUAGAAAUUAUAAAAUAGAAAAAUCAGUUGACUUGGAUUAUAGGCAAAGAACAUCACCAAGGAUAAAAAAGGAGCUUGAAAGAAUUGAAAUGAAAUUUCCAGAAAAGUAGUGGGGGCAAAAAUCCCAGAGGCCAAUGUUGGAAUACAGGAUGAGGUACACUAAAUACCAUCUUUAGCAUUCUGGGCUAUUAACUCUUGUGGUGUUGGGCUUAGAGCCAAACCAAAGACACAACUAUGAAUUUCCAGUUGUGUAAAAGAAAUCACCUUGAUCUCCCCCAAGCCUAAAUAUAUGUAGCAGGGCCUGUAGCUGCACACCAUGCCAUUUCCCCUGCCUUGUUCUGAUUGAUUGACAGCCUAUACUAUAUGCUUCUUUCCUGAAGGUGAUUUUACAGUCUCUAAGCACAGACAUGUCUCGCCGAAGUGAAGGAACGAGAAUCCACAAGCUAAAGUGUGUUUCACUGGGUGAGAUAUUUUGGUGGGUGGGAAAAGAAUGGAGAACUAGGGGAGGGAAUCGUUUAAAAAGAGGUUUAGAUGCCCUUCUGAGGCUGGGAAUUGGAGGCUGUGGAUGAAGGCAGGGACAGAGACGCUGCAUGGUGAAGAAGUAAGUUGGCAUUGACUGUGAAAUUUUAAAUUAUCUUUAACAAGGACAAUGAAAAGAGGCAUGCUGAAACGUUGAGAAGUUAUGACGAACUUGUCGAGAAUGCCAAUUCACAAAGGCAGGUAUGGGAAUACUCAGAAAACCAGGCAGCUUUUGAGUGCCAGUCUGAAGGGCAGAGAGAGCGGCUUCCUGGUGCGUUGAGGGAAUUGGUGGGUGUGCUUAUUGACUCUUCCAAUUAGUUUUAAAGCAAUCUGAAGAAAUGGACAAAGACGGAGAAAAGGCAGCCAGAUGUGAUCCUGAACUUCCAGAAGCAGAGUGCCUCUGUCAUCCCUUAGGAGCCGUGGCAGUUGCAGACAGGAAUAAGCCAGUGGAAAUGAGUGGAUCUUGAAACACCCAGUCACAGAGGAAACACGCAUGCUUAUCAGGCCUGAGACCGCUUAAAUAAACUGCAUCUCUUUUCAUUUCCAGUUUCCAGUUGGGGAACCAGAGGAUGGUGAACAGGUUAUGAUACAGUUUGUGCUCUGCAGGGACACUGGUGUGCUAAGGAUGUUCUCUCUAAAAGUGUAGGGCAGCUGGGAGGGCGAACUGCCCAUAACUCUCAAACGUCCAGGUAAUGAAGUAUCGGGAAAAGCUAAGCCAGAUGGAAUAAUUUGAUCAUCAAAAAUGAUUCCCUUGUUGGUGCUUGGAGUGGGCUGACUGAUGUGACAAGUAUGGAGUUGCUAAUUUACCUUACCUCACUUUUGUUUCUCUCUCGCAAUUGGGGCGAGCAUGCAUGGUCAGAAUGUGUGAGCCUCAGCUGUGUGCAGAACCCGAGCCCUUAACCCACAUAGUAUAACAUUUCACAGUGUCCAAGGUGACAGCCGGAGAUGGGGCGAGUUCAGUGAGAUUUCUCAAGACCUCACAGAACCACUCUGAGAAGGGAAGCAUUGCUGAAGGACUUCCCGGGCCUUCUGAAGUGUGCCUUUGGACCUGGCUGUGGGGCUAUCCAUUAGGCACAGAUGCACGUUCCUCAUGCUGCCACUACCCCUGUUUCGUUAGGCAAAAUGUUAGGGUGAGAAGGUAUCCGGAGAACUCGCUAGCCCAGAUCCGCCCCGACAGUGAAGCUGAUGCACCUACAAGCCUGUGAUGUGUCUGGGAGUACGUUCCCAGGCAACAGUUGGGAUGUGACUACAGUGUAGAUCUUCUGCUCAUUCAUCUCAUGCCCUUCCCACUUUUGUACAGAUCCUCAAAAGAUCCUGGAAAAAAUGAAUACCAAGUCCCUACACUCCAGGAAAAUAACCCUGAGGACAUUUAGAUGUAUACAACAUGGUCAUCUAGCUCAGUAUGAGUUAUGUGAACCACACGUCUGUAGUGGGCCAUUAGCUGCCAGCAGAUGCUCAGCUAGGGCUGGGGCCCUGGGAGUCCCUCCCUGUUUCACGCUGGAAGUUUUGACUGGCUUGAUCAUGCAUGGGUCUUGUGCAGGUAAGCACAGCUGCUGUGAGUUCUUGCGUGCAGCAGCUUUGUCAAGUCUGUAAGAUAGCAUUUCACAGCAUCCUCCCAUCCCCUAGCCUUAUGUUCUUUCUGCCCCAUGUUCCCAGAGCCUUGGCAGGGGUGGGAGUAGGACGUUCUUAACACCGGUAAAGUCUAUGAUUUGUUUCAAAUGAAAAAAAUCACAUCCUUCGCUACAGUGUACAGAGAAUUGUAUCUUUUUUUUGUAAAAAGUUACAGUGUGUGCAUUCAUGUAUAUAUGUACAUAUGAAAUACAGUUGUAUCAGUAAAUGACCUUGGACCCACAAACUAAAAUGAAAUAAUAAAAUGAUCAUUAUAGGUGGUGGGAUUAUCUGACUUGUUUUUAUUUUUCCUUUUCUGAGGUUCCUGAAUUAUGAAUGUAUAAUUUUUGUAGUAGAAAUAAAUCUUUUUGUGGUAAAAAAAUAAUGGUGUGUUGUGAAACUGGGAGUGAAUUAGAGGGUCUAGUUCUGAACUCAGUGUCUUACAUAGAAUUUCAUGCUGUUUCUAAAGAGCAAGACCUUUUGAUGGUUUCAUUCCACAUUCAACUUGAUUUAGGGGGGCUUCAGAUUUGGGAACUCCUUGGCCCCUGAAAUAUGUACAACCUGAUGUGCAAUGAAAUAAGCAAAUUAUAAGACAGUUACAUGCACACACACACACACACACUCACUCAUAUGUGUGUGUAGGAAUAUACAUGCACAGAUAAGUAGGCAUACAUAUAUGUACAUGUGUACAGAAAAAAGAUUUCACAUAAAGCAUUUCCAUUUAUCUGAGCUUCACUGUCUUUUUUGUUUUCUUACUUAAAAUAUACAUCAUGGCCCAUAGGAUUAGCUUUUUUAUGCAUUUAGGAGAUGUUCCUUACAAAUGUCAAGAGACUUGUCCUGCAUGAGAGCUAGAUAGAGACAUUCUGGGGCUUUGGCAUGGGAUGGGAGGGGGGAGGAACUCAAAUGGAGCUCCAGGUGCUGCUCAUUAUGAUCUGGAGUAGGACAAAUAAUGUAAAUACUCAUUAUUAUAAUCAUACCAUAUCUUGAUACCAUUUUAAGCAUACACUUGUUAUUACCCUAUUACAUGUAUGAGUGCAUCUGACUUAGACUGGCUGAGAAUACAAAUUCUGAGAUUUCCCCCUGGAUGGCUGAGAGCACACACACUUGUGUGAGAGCACAAGGUCACAUUUCUUUUAUUAUAUGCAUAUGAAUGUUUUGUCUGCAUGUAUAUCUAUGCACCACAUGUGUGUCUGGUUUCCAGAGUGAGGCAUCAACUCCUCUGGGACUGGAGUUACAGCUGUGAGGUACCUUGUGGGUGCAUGGAAUUGAACCCAGAACCUC